AACGAACGCUGGCGGCAUGCCUAACACAUGCAAGUCGAACGAGACCUUCGGGUCUAGUGGCGCACGGGUGCGUAACGCGUGGGAACCUGCCUUUAGGUUCGGAAUAACUCAGAGAAAUUUGAGCUAAUACCGGAUAAUGUCUUCGGACCAAAGAUUUAUCGCCUUUAGAUGGGCCCGCGUUGGAUUAGCUAGUUGGUGGGGUAAAGGCCUACCAAGGCGACGAUCCAUAGCUGGUCUGAGAGGAUGAUCAGCCACACUGGGACUGAGACACGGCCCAGACUCCUACGGGAGGCAGCAGUGGGGAAUAUUGGACAAUGGGCGAAAGCCUGAUCCAGCAAUGCCGCGUGAGUGAUGAAGGCCUUAGGGUUGUAAAGCUCUUUUACCCGAGAUGAUAAUGACAGUAAUCGGGAGAAUAAGCUCCGGCUAACUCCGUGCCAGCAGCCGCGGUAAAGUGACUACUG
This 461-nucleotide ribosomal RNA is filed under the name uncultured bacterium. Its description in RNAcentral is "bacterial SSU rRNA". It matches the Rfam family "Bacterial small subunit ribosomal RNA", at positions 29 to 534 of the family's 1533-position model. The record is from RNAcentral.